This 456-nucleotide ribosomal RNA is filed under the name uncultured bacterium. RNAcentral's name for it is "bacterial SSU rRNA". It matches the Rfam family "Bacterial small subunit ribosomal RNA", at positions 340 to 786 of the family's 1533-position model. The record is from RNAcentral.
UACGGGAGGCAGCAGUGGGGAAUAUUGCACAAUGGGCGCAAGCCUGAUGCAGCCAUGCCGCGUGUAUGAAGAAGGCCUUCGGGUUGUAAAGUACUUUCAGUCGUGAGGAAGGUGUUAAGGUUAAUAACCUUAGCAAUUGACGUUAGCGACAGAAGAAGCACCGGCUAACUCCGUGCCAGCAGCCGCGGUAAUACGGAGGGUGCGAGCGUUAAUCGGAAUUACUGGGCGUAAAGGGCACGCAGGCGGUUAAUUAAGUUGGAUGUGGAAUCCCCGGGCUUAACCUGGGAAUGGCAUUCAAGACUGGUUAGCUAGAGUCUUGUAGAGGGGGUAGAAUUCCGAUGUGUAGCGGUGAAAUGCGUAGAGAUGUGGAGGAAUACCGGUGGCGAAGGCGGCCCCUGGACAAAGGACUGACGCUCAUGUGCGAAAGCGUGGGGAGCGAAACAGGGAUUAGAUACC